UACAGAGGGGGCGAGCGCUGUUCGGAAUUACUGGGCGUAAAGCGCGCGUAGGCGGCUCUUCAAGUCAGGCGUGAAAGCCCCGGGCUUAACUCGGGAACUGCGCUUGAUACUGUCGAGCUAGAGUGUGGAAGGGGCGAUUGGAAUUCCGUGUGUAGCGGUGAAAUGCGUAGAUAUACGGAGGAGCACCAGGGGCGAAGGCGGAUCGCUGGGCCAACACUGACGCUGAUGCGCGAAAGCUAGGGGAGCAAACGGG
This 253-nucleotide ribosomal RNA is filed under the name uncultured bacterium. RNAcentral's name for it is "partial 16S ribosomal RNA". It matches the Rfam family "Bacterial small subunit ribosomal RNA", at positions 524 to 776 of the family's 1533-position model. The record is from RNAcentral.